AGUUUAGUGAUAGCACAGACAGAGGCUGCAGGAGCAGACAGAAGGAUGGAGAGAACUGAUGACAGAUGUAAAAAUUGAAGGAGAGGAAAUGAGGAGUGUUGUUAGAGAGAACGCCAGGAUUCCCAUACAGACUCUGACACUUGAGGCAGCAGCAGUGGAUAGAGGGAGGAAAAAGGGGAGUUACUGACCACAACAGAAGAAGAUAUCUCAUCUCAGCAAGUGGACAGACAGUAUUCCGGUUAGACAAGGACAGAGGAAGCCACCUGUAAUCAAACUCAGAUGCGAUUAAGAGGAGCAAACAUUGCAAGGCAGACUGCUUAGUCUGUUGGGGAAAGUAUGCCUGUGUUUCCUUUUUGUCUCUCUGCUUGACUGUCUAUCCACAGGCUGUCCUUCCAUCUGUCUAGGCAGCAUGCAGAUGCGUCUUUUUGGUGCUGGUGACAAAGGGAAAUGCUGAACAGAUCAUGACAUGUUGUUAGAGAGUGAGGACAAAAAAAGGAGAGGAACAUUUGCAAGCUUCUGGGAGGGAAAGGGAGGAGAGAGGAGAGAGCAGUAUGACUCAGAGCACUGCAACUAGAAUACUGUGCAUUCUGCAUACAAGAGGAGAGGUAGAGGGAGAUAGAGAAGCAAAGAGACAGAUAUAGGGGAAAAAUAGAGAGCACUGACCAGAAUUGAACAGUCAUUAAACAGAGGAAGGACGAGAUGAAGACAGAAGCCACGCUGACAGGCUGUGAGUGAGAUAUAGGCCAAGUGAAUCAGCUCGCUAGAGGGAGGGAAAGGCGAGAAGAAAGUAGAGAAAGUAGAGGGUUUGGUAUGACUGAGGCUGGCUGAGGGGAGGUUGAAGUAAGGUUUGCUGCAGGGUGGACAGAAGACACAGACCAGUGAAGGACAGAAGGACAGGCUUCAUGAAAAACUACUUAAAGGGCAGAAAAUGUGGUGUGACUACGUCUUGCUACAGGGAGAGAAAAUGACUGAGGUUCACAUAUGGGAACACAAGCCUCAAGACAGGAGGAGUUAGCGGAAAGAAAGUGGAAGGUAAAGAGGUAUAGAGGUUAAGAGAAAAUCGAGUCAGACUAGAAGACUACUGAGAGGGGAAAAAGCAGAAAGAGGGCUAAACAGACAACACGGCAGACCAGAGAACAUGUCAUCUAACGUACAACAUCGGAGACUUGACGGGGACUCAACACUGCGAGAGGUUCCUCUUAAAUAUUGAUGCUGACAGGCCACUCUGGAAAGAGUCUGCUCCUUGCACCACAGAGGGAAGAAACACAGCUGAUUUUUUUUCUUUUUCUUUUUUUUUUUUUUUUUUUUUUAAUUCUAAGGGAUUUUACACCAGAAGAAACAGGCUGUGUAAGUGUGUCAUAAGACAGCCGGCUGGGAUGAAGUCGAGACAUUGCCGCAAAUUAAGACAAGACCUACAAAUUAGCAGGGACUCAGUUUCCGGGAGGUUGUUUGGCCAGCUGUGCAAUUUUUCUUGGAGAAAGGGGAAUGACCACAGAAGCAGCAGUGAACUGGACUUUUAUCUGGUGCGGGAACAACAGGAAUAAAGAAAAAUCAAUAUUUGACUUUUCACUGAGACCAUAGCGAGACUAGAACGACUCAUCUUUUGUAGAAGAGUAAGCACAAGCUGUGGUUGAUGGAACUCAUGUUGAACUGACGUCCUGUACUUGCUUCGACAGCCAAUCACACUACUGCCAGAAAAUAAGUCAAAGAUUCCUGAUGGUUUCAUUCAUGUGCCCUUUUUGUGUUUGGUUGUGGACUUAAAACUCUUCCUGAAAAUGACCUCAUCACAGAGCUCCUGCCACUGAAGUCCUGUCAUGGCUUAAGGAGAUAUAAGCACUGAUUGGCUUCCAUGUACAUUAACACAAAGGAUCCUUUAAUAAGAGGCAGGAUCUUUAAUUGAUUUUUGUCUCCAUGACUUAACAAGUCACAAUGGAUGAUUCUGAAACUCACAACCCCUUAAUGUCAUCCAGGCACUGAGAUAGAGACUUUAUUUCGUCUGAUGUGAACCACCCUUUCCUAAAAACACCACAACAGUAACGCAGGAGAACACAACGCCACAGCAGCCUCCAUCCAGCUGCAGCCAGACCAGCUGUGCAUUUAUAUGUGUGUGUGUGUGUGUGUGUAUAGCUGCAUGGGGGUGUAAGGACUGUCGAGGAGAUCAGCUGUGUUUGUGCGAAGGCUUGUGUGGACGUGGGUGUAGGUGUGUGUUCGCGUCGAGCUUUGAACCCAGCUGUGUCUGAGUGUAUUGUCAAAGCAUUGCCAGGAGCUGUGUGUAUGUGCCUCGUCGUGUAUGUGUGUGUGUGUCGCCUGGAUUCUCCCCACCAGCGACAGAGCUGGACCUGAACAGCAGUGCUGAGAGGGGGGACAGGGAGGGGGAGGAAGAGGAAGAAAAGAGGGAGGUGAAGGAAAUCAGUAGGACGGAGGACAAGAAAAAACUGACAACAUGCUCGAAUAAAGAGAAGAAGGAAAGGAGUUUCUGGCUGCCCCCCUGGUGCAAUGUGUGGCGUCACGCCCUAUGGGGGUGGGGUUCUGUGAUGGUAACCAUGGUCCCUGGCAGCCGCUAUGUCUGCAGCGCUCACGCAAGAGAGGAUGACAACACAAAUGACCGUGAGGAACGAAUUUUAGCCGUGCUGGGCAUCAUCGGAACAAUUCUCAAUCUUUUGGUGGUCAUAUUUGUUUACAUCUACACUUCUGUCACCUAAAGCUUUAUACGAGACUCGAACAAGAAACAUUGGCUCAAACUUUUGUACCGCUAUCUCUGCACUGCCACUUCCACUGAGUAUUUACAUAUUUGGAGGGUUUGAUGAUUUAGAGUGAAGAUGGGGAUAUGAGAAUCACUGACAGUGUUCUCAGCUGGAUAGUAGCCAUUUUUGUCUAUAUCUACAUCACUGCAAAUCCCUAAAGACAGCUCCACUCUGAAACUAAAAGACUGCUGCCAAUCACAAUAGGAGCUACUUGUGAAAACAACUGCACUUGCUCUACUUUUCAUAUCGAAACGCAUGUUCGUAUUUUUUAGAUAAACACUGCGAGACAGCUUCAGAUGCCAAAUGACUGCUGACAGUGUGUCCAGUCCUGUAACUGUCACAUGUGUUUGCAUUCAUCUUGAUCUAUGACUGCACGGUCAUAUGUCUGUGCUGAUGGCUGGAAAUGAGCUCAGUAUGUGUUUGGUCUAAUGCCAGUCAUAUAUAACUGUGCUACAUCUGCCAUUUUGUAACUUAAUUCUGUUCUUUACCAUCUGCUAAGCACCCUUAGUUGAAUUGACCGUAUUAGUUGGAAGAGCAGGACCAAAACUACCUAUGUACCCACUUGAACUUUUAUACCGACAAUUAACUACUCGUUCCCAGAAACUUAUUCUUGGUUUCUGCUUUUAGCGUCUCUGAAAAAAGCGUUUACAUGGACCUAACGUGUCCAUACCUGAGCACACCAGAGGAGAGAUUCCUGGCUGUGCUGGGAGUCAUCGGCAUUGUGCUCAACCUCCUGCUGCUGGUCUUUGUCUAUAUAUACACCACCAUCUGACAUAGUGCUACACACAGCAGUACCGUCACCUUCAGUAUCCGAUAUGAGAUAACCUGCCACAUUUAACUGCACUUGUGCUUAAUAAUCAGGGUUCCUGCUGUUAUACUAUAUAUGGAGUAUGUUCUUCAACCACACCUUUAUACGUUAUUAACUGUGGUGUGCUGAAAAAAUGUGGUGAAAAGCAGGAGAAAAUUAGGGGCAAAGCAGAAUAACCGCAGCUCACAUUAUACUAUGGAUUAGAAAUACUUUAUAUGAAGUACUCUUUCACAUGUACGUUAUUAAAUGUAAGCUUGUGUUGCUAUGAUUUUUGUUAUGCUUUGACCAAAAUAACUAAAUAUCAGAUUCUUUACAGUAGUCGUGUUUGUUCUACAUGCUUAUCGAUGUUGAAAGACAUGGAACUAGAUGGUACUGAUGUUUCAUUUUGUGUAACGACUCAGCACAACAGAAAAGAUCUCUCUGUGGAGUGUUCGUGCCACAGAAUAAUGGUCUGUUUUCUAGUGUCGUGUUUUUGUGAUUGGAUCUGUAAGCCAGACAGUGAGCUGCAUCGGAAAGUCCAGCGCACGGAACAGAAACAGUGUCACAAAAAUCAAGACGGCGUACCAAUGCGAGAUGAUGCAGAAGGACAGAAACGAAGGAAAGAAAUCUGGCUGAACCAGUGUGGACUGUCUGGAAAAAGUGGAUAUAAAACCUCUGUUCAAGGCCUCGCCAGCUGUCUCGAAACCCAUAAAGGCACAAAAGUCUUCCAGGGAUUGGGUGUAUUCACUGGAGCAGCAUGUCACUAUGGAUAUGGUUUUAAGUUUAAGCACCAUGCCCGUAAUGGAGGAGCAUCCCUAAACUCAGCUGACAAGCGAACAGGAAGGACUGGCCUGAAUCUCCACUUCAUCCUUGUCAUUCUCUUCUCCACCAACAAGUUAACACCAGAAAAGACAUAGUGCAGAAUGGAUCCACAAAUUUCCACAAUAGAUUUCCACAUGGAGAUUCAACAUGUGCACAUAGAUGAAAAGAUUACAGAUUUACACAAGGGGUUGUGGGAAAGACAGAACCAAAAACUUGACUUGUUUUCCCAAAUGAGUGACCAGUAACUCUGGUGAUUUACAGCGACCUACUGCAGUUUUACAGUAGGUUCGCGAGAGUAAGUGUUGAAAUUUUGAUCAUCAUUGCAACGUAAGAGUCCUAGUCAUUCUGUUGUUGUAUGUUCUUAGUUUUAGUAUGAAUUUAUCAUUGAGUGUUUUGGGAUCUGACUGGUUUGCAACAUAUAUUUAUGUCAAAAGCACUACAUUUGGAAUUAUGUGGGACAAAACAAACAUCUACAGACUAGUGAUAGUGGUCUAUUUUCUUAAACUGAAGUUUUUUUUGGGAAAAAGUCUUGUUCCAAUACAGAUAUGCUUUGAAAACAACUCAACCAUUUGCCUGCUAGAACAAUUUUCUUAAUCAUAUUUAAAACAUAUUUAAAUAAUACUGUUAUGUGAAGAACUUGCCUUAGGGUUUAACCAUUCGUCAUAAUCAUAAUUCAUUACAUUUACCAGCUCCUAUUCUCUUUAUGCUUGAUCCAGAGCCCUCAUGUUUCUGUAUCCUAAACUCAAGUUUCAACAGUUACAGUUUAUUUUUGUAACUCAGGACAUUAGUUCUGUUGCUGAUGUUACUGCUCUACUUGUGCACACCCAAGGUUGUCCUAUAUACAGUAGUAGGAGAUUUUUAGUCACAUUAUGGAGCAUUUACUUUCACUUUAUGUCUUCAAAGGAAGUGGCUGCAAAUCCAAGCUUCAUACAACCUCACAGCUACUACAGCUGUUUGGUACUUUUGGUUUGAAAAGAAGAAAAAGACUCCAUGAUGUAAUGAACUUUUCUUAAACUCUCGAGUCUCCCCUAUGCUGAGAUCAAACCAGGAUAAAUGGCAUCAUUUUGCCCAGAUCUCCUCAGCCUGAAGACAUAAAGCAUACAUCUGUCCUCACAUAGAUAGCAGAAGAGCACACACAAACCACUUGCAUCUCUUUUCAUAAGUUUAAUUUUGCACCAUCUCUCAACAUUCAUCCAGAUAUUCCACUGUUAGCAUGCUGAGAUCGAUGUGACUUGCACAUUUACUAUCUGUCACAUCUUGUAACUGUAUAGUAGAGUUUGUUGAGCUAAAUCCAUUUUAAGUGUGCUCCAAAGCGCAGUAAAAGCCAUGUUUGGUUUCCCAGACAUAUGCUGUCAGACUGUCACAGCUGAAGCCACAGCUCUGCGGAGACACAUUUGAAUAUACUUUGAAAUACCCAAAGUACUGGAGUUAUUUUUGGUCCGUGUUGCAAUCUCUAAAAAAGGGUCACUUGAACUAUUAUGAAAAUGAUAAGCUCAGGUUUACUUUGAUAAAGGAAAUGGUUAAAGGCCAGCAAUAAUGUUAAUAUUUUUAGACUGAAACUCCUAAAAUUAAUGUAUUUUGUUUCAAUAUUUAAUCUUUCUAACUUGACCAGAUUAACAGUGCUUCUCAGAGUAAUUGUGUUAAUAAAUGGAAAAAACACUAAAUCAGCAAGAAUGUUUAUGAGCAGUUUAAUAUUUUGCCAAACAUUUUGGGUGAGUCAGUUCAUCCCCAUGGCUCCUGUACCUGGGGUAAACGUCAGUGGUUAUUCUGCAUGCCGUUCAACUUUUGAGCCAUGGCCAUUUUUAACAAAACAGACUCACUGCCGAGCAGACCAACCAGAGGAAAAAGCCUAAAGGGGGAGUCCUGGCCAUCUGGUGUCCUCACAGACGCCUAGAUAUCCCCUCAAUGUACUCACAGACGUACAACACACACAUACACACACACACACACUGAGCAUGGAAUUUAUUUAAACAGUUCCACAUAAAUGUCUCGUCUGUGAAAUGCAGUUUUUUUUUAAUGAUUUACUUUAAUGCAUGUUUUUUCAUUCUCCAAGGUAAAAAGCUAAUAUGUGCACACACGUUAUGUUAUGGAAAGAAACUUUAUUGCCACAGGAAAAACAGGUGCACCAGAGUCCACCUGGGACCGCACUCCUAACCACUGCCCCGAGCACAGGUGGUUAACACGCAACACCGAAAACAAUAGGACAAAGUUUAAGGCGACAUAGUGUUGAUUCUGGCUCCGGAGCAGAUGAACUCUUACUAUGAGUCAGUAAUGCUGUUAUGCUCAUCUGAAACAAAAUGAGACUUUUUUCAUGAUGAGCUGCAUUUAUUUUUGUCUUGAGGGGGUGAAUUUGACACAGAUGGUCUGAGGGAGAUUCAGAGAAAAUUAAGUGGACAAGAGGAUCCGAGACAUUCUUUAAUUAGAUUUUUGAGCAACAAAGAUGAAGAAUAUUUUUGAAAAAGAGAGAAAAAAAAUAAAUGCGUUUGAAUUUUGGCUACCGAGGUUUUCUGGAAAUUUGGAUAAAAAUUAGGCUAGGUUUUAUGUUUUCUGCAUGAUGACUGCAGUACAACUCCAUCCAAUGGAAAAAAGUUAGGUAUAUUAUCGUGCCUUUUGCAAGAUAUAAUGUAGAAAGGCAUUUCUUUAUAACUUGAAUUUUCGUGUAACUGCAGAUUAUUUUCUGACUCUGUGGUAUGAGUGAUGCAGGUAUAGAGGACCUGACAAAUGGUCCAUUACUGAAACUUUGAGUGACAUGCUGAUUUAGAUAUACUGACUAACAUUCCAGGUAGCUGCUACACUACUAAUAAAGCAAACUGUAGAUGUUAGAGAUGGGAAAUGAUGACAUCUACUGUGUCAGCAAGUUAAAUGUGAAAUAUAGAAAAGUGUCACAAUAUCAUGUCUAUAUGUGAUGAAAAUGGUGAAGACACAGUUUGUUACAAACCUUGAGAGUAACCAUUGAACAAACGCUGUGAGAUCUGGUGUACUUUCAUGUAAUGCUUAUAUAUGAAUAUAUAAUGUAAAGUUGUAAUGCAAAUAAAAGUGAAAACACCA
This is a long non-coding RNA of Sphaeramia orbicularis (orbiculate cardinalfish), 7401 nucleotides long. RefSeq lists it as uncharacterized. The transcript has 3 exons. Lineage: Eukaryota; Metazoa; Chordata; Actinopteri; Kurtiformes; Apogonidae. The record is from RefSeq and is a predicted model, not a curated record.